CCCAACCCAAACCGACCCAAAACCCAUCCCCUUUAAUCAAAACCUAGCUCCUAGACCUAAAGAAUGAGAUCCCUUACCCGAAGAACUCAGCGCAUCUUUCCCCUUUUCCCUUUUACUUCUCAUUCCCUCUUCAUAUCCCUUAAAAACCAGAGAAAACGGCAAUACCAGGGUUCCCCUUUUCUUCUUCUCCAUUCCUCAUCUUCAACAGACAUACAUGCCCUCAUGAUCUGAUUUUUGCGCAUAAUUUUAGAGAACAGCUAAAAUCGGCGAAAUCGAAAAAAAAGGAUUUGAAAGCUAUGGUUAAACUUCUACUCACUUGUUCUAUUUUUCUGAAAAUUCAAGUGCAAACAAGUUUGGGAAAGAGCUUAUGAAGCUAGGAGUAGGGGCUGAUCUCGUCGAUGAUUUCACUGCUGUCCAUGUAGCUGAUUUCCAACAUAGCAUCGGUUCUUUCAGCCUUUGUCCUGGCAUUUAUUUUCGAUUUUUAUUUGUGUUUCAGGUAUGAAUCUCGAUUUGAAGAUGCUGUAAUUGUUGUUAGCUGCUUCGUUACGAUGAAAUUUGCAACAACAGUUCCCUUGUUUCUCUUAAAUUCAUUAAUGUUUUGUGCGAGCUUGAACUAUUGUUUUGCUGAAAUUUGUCGUGAACGUUCCCUUGUUUUAUGAUGUUCUGCUCCAUUUCUAGUACGGCUAACUCUUGCAAUUUCCAAUUUGCUUUCUGAAAUCCCCAUUUUAAUGAUCUUCUUCUUAUGUUGACGCCUUUAAGUCGAUUUUGGAAUUGAUGUUUAUAGAUAAUCCUAUGUUAGUUAAUCAUUCUGGUGCUUUAUCAUUUUCUCCCAUUAGUUAGCAUAGUCGUUGCUUAGUCAGUAGUGAAGCAGUUGAUAUAAAGGUUCUUGACACAGGAUAAUUCUUUGAACUCUACUCCGAAAUAUGUGAUCUUUUAACAGCUGAAUAAAAAGACAAUUCUGUGAUAGUUUUGCCCUUAACUGUUUCCAUGGAUGCAAUUACGUGCUUGGACUUGAUGAAAAGACAUUUUUGUUAAAAAAAAAACAUCUGAGUCAUAUUUUCAUAUUAUUGUUUUGUUGGCCUUGGAUUGCUGCAAUCUACAUCUUCCAAUUUUGAUGUUUAUUGAAUCUCAAGGGGUGUAACUCAAAUUUUCGAACUGACCCUUCAUCGGAAGAUCUCUCAUUUGUCAUAGCAUGUAGGCGCAUGUAUGGGUGAUUUACUAAUGUUUAGAUGAGUUCUGCAGUUUCACAUUUAUGCCAUUCACUUAUUAGGAUAUGACUUGCUAGUAAGUGAGUCUCAACUGUGAGGGAGGAGGCAAGAAGUAUGCUUUGGUGGAUCAGGGUUUUCAAUUCCUAUUCAUGUGCAAUUACCUCACACUUGGAUAAUGCUAUUAGUGUAUUUCAAACUUCUUAUUUGAUUUUUCAUACUUAGUGGGUUACCUUCAAUUAUUUUAUUUUUCUUGUUCGUUUUAAAUCUAUUUAGCAACUGGACCUCAUAUUUGUGUUAGUAAGGGAUAUUUUUGGUAUAUAAGUACUAACUUGAAAGUUGGGUUUUAAUGGUAUUUCAAUUGCUGGAAAUUUGCAUCUUUUGUUGUUCUUUUUCAAUCAUUUUAUUGCUUGAAUUCCUUUUGGUUAAUAUUGAAGAUUUUGACAGAAAUUUGAAUAUUGGAUGCAUUCAAAAUGAAUGUCUUUCCUUCGUUGUCUCACUUGAUUAUUCAACAAAGUUGAAGGAACGAGAAUUCUGGGCUUUAUGUUCCAAGUGUAGUUGCUGAUUAGCUUAUGGAAACAUUGGUUGUCUCUGCUUGGUAAUCACAGUGACUAUAUUAUCAUAGCAAUAAUAGUCUGCAUUAUCAAUAAAUCAAAUAUCGUAGCUUGCUUUAGACGCGAUUGAUAAACCAUCGUGAUUAUGGGUACGAUUUUUGUGACAUAGUUACUAUUCUUAAUUUUCCAAAUUCGGGUGUGCAUUUCAUGUGACCCGAUCAUAACAACUUCGAAUAUUAAUAAAUACACAUGUCGUGAAUCGCGGGUGCAUUUCAUGCAGCGUGGUUCGUGGUGUGUUCCAAAACAAACAAGUAUACGACAAUUGUAACUUGUUCAAGAAAUAAUUCCAUAAAUCCUAAAAGCGGUUAAAAUAAUUAAAAGGCGAUUAUAAAGCAAAAAUGCACAAUAGGUUUAAAACAUGUAGUAUAUAAGAUAAUAGGCCAAUAUUAAUAGUUUAAGCAACCGUGCUAGAACCACGGAACCCGGGAAUGCCUAACACCUUCUCCCAGAUUAACAUAAUUCCUUACUUAGAAUUUCUGGUUCGCAGGCUUUUAAAAUAAAGUCGAAAUUUCCUCGAUUUUGGGUUUUAAAAUAAACCGGUGACUUGAGACACCAAAUAAACUAUUCCAAGUGGCGACUCUGAAAUAAAUAAAAUAAAAUAAAAUAAUCCCAUUUCGAAUAAUAUCACUUUAAUUGGAAAAACUCCCUUAUAUACCCCCUCGGGGUGGUAAAAAGGAGGUGUGACAGCUUUGGCAACUCUACUGGGGAUCAUAACCCAGAACUUGAGGUUCAGGGUUCAAGAAUUCGAGCUUAGAAUAGAUGUUAUACUUGGCUUUAUUUAUUAUCUGAUUUUUACAUGUUUGAGCCUAAUGUGCUAGUUGUCGCUUUUUACCGCUUUGAUAUUAUUGAACUGUAUAUAAAUUGUUAUGAAACCCUAUUCUCUCUGAGUCUUCUGAAUCAUCUGGGAAGUGUGUAUUUCGUGUGACUUCUCUUCUAUUAGAGUCAUAUCCUAAUUUUAGAACGAGGUUCAGACAAGUUGCAAAGCCGGUGAAGCUUCUGUAUUCCCGGUACGCUGCUCCCCUCCGGCUCGAGCUAUCCGCUCGAGUAGGCCAGGUCUAGAACAAUAUACCUAGGUUUUUAAACCUAGUAUAACACAGCCUCAUGCCGGAUCCCUAGUAGGAACGUUUGUUUGCGUCACGUUUAUUUGACUUUGGGGACUCAACACAGAGGUUUGGUCCGUCUAGGACAGGUGUAUCCGAAAUAAAAAGACCAUCCUGAUGCAUUUUACUUGCUACUUGUACAUUUAUUUUCUUCGGAUUGCAUGUUGACCGGCUUCUAGAAUAAGGAAGAAAAGUUGGAAAAACAAAUAUCAAAUUGAGGUAUGAGAGAGAUAACUACUCGUCUUUGAAAAUUUGGUGUCCAAAAUGUACCAAAACUCUACCAAAAAAAAGAGAGAAAAGAAAAGGAGAAAAAAAGGAAGAUUGUUUCAAAACAAUAUUUCAUGUUUUUCUGUUGCGUCAAAAUUGACCGAACUACGCGGGUCUGACUCUCACCGGAUAUGAGAUACGUAGGCAAAUCUCAUCGAUUCUGGCCCCAAUUUUAAAAAAAAAAUCCAAAAAUAUUUUCCUUUAGUUCCUUGUUUAGAAAUAUUUCCUUAGAAAAUGCAAAAAAAAAAAGAAGAAGUUUUCUUUAAACUCAAAAAAAAAGAGUAGUUUCUUUCUUUCUGAAGUCUUUCAUACGGAAAAAAUGAAAUAAUGAAAAAUCAAGGUCCAAAAUACGGGCUUUCUUCAUUUUGAAUUUUUUUUCCCAAAAAAAAAAAAUCAGAAACAAAAAUCCAAAAAUAUUCUUUUAUUCUUUCAAAGUCUUUCUUUUGUAAAUGUCCAUAAAAAUUGAGAAAUAUAAGUCCAAAAAUAUUUUCGCUUUUUUUUAAAGUACUUUCAUAAAUAUAAAAAAAAGAAAAAAAAAACUCAGAAAUCCAAAUUAUUUUUUUUAAAAAGUCCCUCUUUCGAAAAUUAAGAGGCAACAUUCAAAAUCCAACAAUAUUUUCUUUCUUCUUUAGAAAAAGAGAAAACAAAUGAAAAUUCAAACAAAAAUAUUUUCCUUUUACUUUUGAAAUUCACAAAGUUCCAAUCAAAAGAAAAGGAUUUUUAAGAAGGCUUUCUGUCAAAAAUAAAAUCAAAAUAAAAAAAAAUAAUAUAUAUUUCCUUUCUUCUUUUAAAGCAUUUCUUUUGAAAAUCCCAAAAAAAAAACUAAGAUUUGAAAAACAAUGUUUUUCUUUUGCCUCAAAGCUUUCAUGGUCUGAUUGUUAUAAAAAAAAAAGAGUUAGUUUAUUUACUCCAUUCCCAAUCUUCCUGAACUACGCAAGAUCUGAUUCGUGCGGCGCCAUGAUAUGUAGGCAAUCCCCAUCAGAUUCAAUCAUAACCAUAAAAUAAACUGAGUGAAAAAGUAAACUGAAAAAAAAAGAGAAGAAGAAAAUUGAGUGAAAAAAAGAGAAAAAGAAAAAGAGUGAAAAAAAGAGGAGCGAUAAGAAAUAAAAAAGUGACAAACAAAAGAGAAAAAGAGAGUGCCAAAAAUAAAAGAGCGGCAAAAACGAGAUGGAAAAAUCAAGAGUGAUUAAAGAGAGGCAGAAACAAAAGAAAAGACUGAAAGGGUUAGUUAAGGCCGGGAUGAAACAUGCAACUGUUCAAACACAUGGUAGAAACGUUUAACUGUUUAGGUGCAUUACAUCCAAACGUGUAAUUUUCUAUCUGUUAAGCGUCUCAUAACUAACAAGAUUGUUGGGUGUGCAAAAUAGCCAGGUUUUGUUGGUUGGUUUUGUUGGUAGUCUAGCCUCCCCUCCUUCACAAGAUCCAAAGGCACAUAUGGCCUCCGCGAGCAAUCUACCAAUUAUCGGUCCUGAGGAUAGCUUGACAUUGACUAUUCUGCAGCUAGAAUCAGCAGCUGCUGAAGAGAAUAGGAUGUUGCGUCUCCGCAUAUUGAAAAUGUGGGACGCCUGGUCUAAUGGUAGGGAACCGCCAAGUGCAAUCCCUGGGUUUCUUGAGUUGAUCCCCAUGUCAGGUGAGGUUACCAACGCCCCUGUGCCCAACCCGCUCAUCCCAUGCGGGCACCCUCCAAUGUCGUUCAAUGAUCCUGGCAUGCCUUCUGUGGUUCUCCCAUGGCGCCAGUUUCCUGGGCACCUCCAAUAUUGUUCUCUACAGCACCAGUCUACACCAGAACACAACCAACUUUACCACGGCCGUAUGUUGAGCCUCCAAUAUUCAUCUUUCAGGGUCCACAGCUUCAAUCAGAAAUAACAUAUGUGACCCCGUACUCUUUCACUCAACCUCCGCAAUAUGAUCUCUCGGUGGAGCAAGAAAAAGUGGUUAGAAAUCCCGAGCAAGAGGAAAUGGCUCGAAAGAUAAAGAGCCUGGAACAAAGCCUAAAAAACAUGCAAGGUCUGAGUGGCCAAAAUAGUGUCUCAUACUCUGACCUCUGUAUGUUUCCCCAUGUCCACUUGCCAGCUGACUUCAAGAUGCCAAAAUUUGAAAAUACAACGGGCACAGAGACCCGGUUGCUCAUCUGAAGCGAUACUGUAACCAAUUGAGGGGUGCUGGUGGAAAAGAGGAGCUGCUAAUGGCCUAUUUUGGGGAAAGCCUCACCGGAAUCGCUUCUGAGUGGUAUACGGAUCAAGAAAUUACCCAUUGGCACGUGUGGGACGAUAUGGCCUAAGAUUUUGUCCACCAGUUCCAGUAUAACGUGGACAUCGCUCCCGACAGAAACUCUUUGUCCAAUUUGAAAAAGAAAACCGCGGAAAGCUUCCGCGAAUAUGCUGUCAAAUGGCGUGAGCAAGCUGCCAGGGUAAAGCCUCCAAUGGACGAAAUUGAAAUGGUCAUGGUCUUUCUACAUGCCUAAGAGGCGGACUACUUCCAAAAAAUGAUGUCCGCUAUGGGUAAACCGUUCGCUGAGGAUAUCAAAAUUGGAGAAAUGGUUAAAAACGGUUUAAAAACAGGUCGAAUCUUGAGUCAUGCUGCUUUUAAGGCCACAUCACAGGCUGCUCAGAAUGGUUCGGAGGGUUUGAUGAACAUAAAUAGGAGUAAAGAGGGAGCCAUGAUGGCUUCAAGCUUGAGGGGGGCCCGCAGGUCAUUCAGUCAAUCAUAUAUGCUUCAUGAGGUCCCUCAACACUAUUGUCCCCUUCAAAAUGCUUCUAAUACCGUGGCACCACCUCCCUAUGCGGUGAUGAACGCGCACCCUUACACGCGGCCACAAUAUUAUCCACAAAACCGAACUCCACCUCUCAUAAAUGCCCAUCACUACCAAUCUCCAUAUAAUCCCCAACCAAAUGUUCCCCAAUCCUCGCCAAAGAGAGCCUUUCAAAAAGAUUCAGUUCACGUCUAUUGGUGAAUCGUAUUCAAGCUUGUUCCAAAAGCUAAUCAGGCUAAAUCUAUUGCAACCAUGGCCCCGAACCGGCCAAACCCCGAGUCCCCCCUCGCACCAAGCUAAUGCUAGAUGUGAAUACCACUCUGGAGCAGUGGGAUACAGUAUAGAGGACUGUUGAACCCUCAAAAGGGCAGUUGAAGAUUUGAUUGAAGCUGAAAGAAUUGUUUUUUAGGAUGAAGAAGCUCUUGAUGUGAACAAUCUGUUGCCUGCACACAACAGCGGGCCAAUAGUCGAAAUGAUUUGUGAAGUUGAGGAAUUUGAUCCGGUACUAAAGGCCAUUGCAGCCAUGGCCGAAACAGAAGAAAAUCCAAAAAACGGUCGCCAAGCCUGAAAGUUCCCUAUCAGACGGGAGUCACGGUAGCCAGUCUUGCUAUCCUUUCUACGUCCGGAUUAUCUCAGGGUGUGAUCUGGAUGUUUUACUUUAUUGUCUUACUUUCCGAUAUAAAUCCUUCUAUCUACAAAAAUCAAAAAAUAAUAAUAAAAAAAAAUAAACAAAAAUAAAAUGAAAUCAAUAUUUUAUUGUCCAGGAAUGUCUCUUUUCUUAAUCUUGUCAUUUUUUUCUUAUUCUCUUUUUAGUUCUGUUAAAUGUAAAUUUCAAUAACAUGACAUGCUUGCGGACUUCAUGCCCAAAUCCUGAAAGCUGUCAGACCCCGAAAUAAUGAAUCAAGAAUUAGAUCGCAAUGAAGAUACGUUUAAGGAAAUAAAACAAAGAGUUAGAACAGCUAAAGGAAAAUUAGCUUCAGAUUGGAAAGGUCCAUACAUUGCAACAAAAAUACUGCCAAAAGAGUGUGUUCUGCUUGAGACACAUCGAAGGAAAUAUCCCUCAAACAAUUGUCAAUGCAAAUGUAGUCAAAAGGUACUAUGUUGAAUCCUCUAUAUAAUAUUAAUGUUCUCCGAUUGGGAUGAAGAAAGCCAGAAGGCUUUCUUUCUCACUAUCCAAAUAUUCAACCCUUUGCAAACCCUUUGAGUCGGUCACACCAAAACAAAAAUCCAAAUUCCCCAAAAGUGAAACUGGGGCAGAAGUUACAAUGGUUCGGCGAUGGUUUCGCCUGAAAGGUUCCAAAGUUGUAAUUUAAUCCAAAUUCUUUUUACCCCAAAUCUUGUUCAAGUCCUUCCGAUCAAUCGGUAAAAGAUGUUCAAAAUUGGAGGAUACAGUUGCUUAGAUCUGAUAAAACAAAAUGAGAGAAAUAAAAUGAGAGAGUCUUAUUGGUGAAAACCCACACGGACAUCGCGAGGCGAUGGUAAGUAGAGAAAGGAAAUGAGAGAGUCUUAUUGGUGAAAACCCACACGGGCACCGCGAGGCGACAGUAAGCAGAGAAAUUGAAAUGAGAGAGUCUUGUUAUUGAAAACUCGCAAGAGCACUACAAGGCAAUGGUGAGAAGAGAAAUAAGAGAGGCCGGCUCGUGAAAACCCGCAAAGGGCACCACUGAUCGAAAAGAAGAUCUUCAGUCACUGACACUGACGCAGUCCUAAGCAAGGUUUCUCGAUUUCGAGGCAAAAGUUGUGAUGAAUUUAUGAGAUUUGGACGGUUUGAACAGAUCAGGCAUCUAGUCCAAAAGGCAUGUCAUGUUCAUCGAAGUCCGCAUGUACUCCAGAUAAGCCCUUCUUUCCUUUACCUGAAAGGGAUACCUCUUGUCUAAAUUCAUUUAUCAAUUCCUUUGUUUGUUUUUAAUUUAAAUCCCUUUUGGUCUAACUCUAUUCAGAAACUAAGACAAAGAAGGGAUGAUAAGACUGAUUUACAGGGGUCUCAUUUCAUACAAGCCAAUAUACAAAAAGGCACCCAGCCUCGUCAGGGGGCAUUAAGUCGACCUCGAUAGCCAUGGGGACCGAUGCUUCGAAAUCAGAACUCUCGGAAGGAGAAAAUCAAAAUGAAGUGCCUACAAAGGCAAAAUGAAGUUGAAAGGUUGAGUCACACGUGACUAACUGUCUCGGCAAAGGUUUUAAAAGCCAAGGUACCCAAAUGCUCUGAAAUGGAAGUUGGAAGAAAGAAGCCAGAAAUGAAAGGCCUAUGAAGGUGAAAUAAAGUUGAAAAGGGUUAAUUCCCCCGUGACUAGCCAUUGCGACAAUGAUUGAGGAGCCAAAAGUUCCCCAAUGCUCCGAAGUUAAAAAAAAAGAAAAAAGAAAAAAAAAGGAAAAGAAACGAAAAGAAAAGGAAGUUAGAAAGGAAAGGCCUACGAAGGCAAAAUAAAGUCGAAAAGGUUGGGUUCCACCGACCAACCGUCAUGGCAAAGUCUAGAAAAAACCAGAAGUUCUCCAGGGCCUGAAAUGAAAUCGGUCCUUAGGGAACAAACAGUUGCAGCUGAGAUUUUCAUUCAAGAAGUCGGGCCGAGAUCGAGUGAUUGAAACAAUCAAGGCCACAAAACCAACCACCAUUUCAAACUAACAAUUGUUCUUUGUUUGAAAACAUGAAACAUGUGCAAUCCAAAGCAACCUUGCAAAAAGCAGAUGCAACCAAACAGAAAACUGCGCAGGGGCUAGAAACAACUUUGCGGCAAAAAUUAAUCCAAAAGGGAAGUCUCCUCUAAAUUCUUUCCUGCAUUUUAAUCAUUUUCUUAAAUAAAACAAAAAAAAUGAAAUGAAUAAGAAGAAAAAUUCAAAAUCAUGGUAGCAUAGGGUAUCCAAUCUUUAGCUACAUCCUUUCCAACAUAAGGUCCCAUUCCCUAGUCGAUGCCAGCAUAACCUGGUAAUCUUUUCUCACAUAGGGUCCCAUUCCCUAGUCAUUGUCAGCAUAACCUGGUAGUCUUCUUCAAUAUAGGGUUCCACUCCCUAGUUGAUCCCCGACAUAACCCGAGGACCUUUUUCUUUUGCGGCAUAACCCUACCACUUUCCCAGCAUAACCCGUAGACCUCCCUAGUAUAACCCGAGGACCUUUUUCUUUUCCGGCAUAACCCGAUGACUAUCCCGGCAUAACAUGUGGACCUUCCUGGCAUAACCCGUGGACCUUUUCCGGCAUAACCCGAUGACUUUCCCAGCAUAACCCGUGGACCUCCCUGGCAUAACCCGAGGACCUUUUUUUUCCGGCAUAACCCGAUGACUUUCACGUCAUAACCCGUGGACCUCCCCGGCAUAACCUGAGGACCUUUUUAUUCCCGGCAUGACCCGAUGACUUUCUCGGUAUAACCCAUGGACCUCCCCGGCAUAACCCGAGGACCUUUUUCUUUUCUGGUAUAACCCGAUGACUUUCCCGGCAUAACCCUUGGACCUCCCCAGCAUAACCCGAGGACCUUUUUCUUUUCCGGCAUAACCGAUGACCUUCCCCGACAUAACCCGAAGACCUUUUUUUCUUUCUUUUCUGGCAUAACCCGAUGACUUUCCCGGCAUAAUCCGAGGACCUUUCCGGCAUAACCCGGUCAUUUUUCCAGCAUAACCUGGUAAUCUUCCCAACUUAGGGCUUCCGAUCCCCAUUUGAUUGCAUUUUUGAUAUAGGGUCUCCACUCCCUAAUCUCUUUUUCUCAGGGAUACACAAUCCCGGUUUUAAUUGCUUUCAAUAAAGAAAUAGUUUAGAUUUUUGUUACAAUAACUCACGAAAUUUUGCUAGUGAAAACUAGGGCAGAAAAUUUUGUUCAUUUGUUCGCUUUGGUUCCUGAACAGGUUUUUACCGUGAGGCACAAGGUUUGAGAUGACCAAAAGAAGAAGUCUCAACCCAAAUAAAAGAAAAAAAGAACAAGAAAAGAAGUUGAACUCUAAUUAUAGAAACGGAGAAAAGAUGCGGACUGCUCAAGAUAUUAUUGAAGUCACAAGCUUUGCAUGUCCUGCCUUGACUCAAAAAGCUGAAGAAGAAUGAACCAGCGGUUGCAGCUAACGAGCAUCAAGAUUCAGAUCAGAGUCUGCAGGAAGAACUAGCCAAGACUCAAGAUCAAGCUUCAGAAGAUUUAUAGAUAGGAAUCUUGUAACUCGUAGUUGAUAGGCUUAGCUAGUUUAACUUUUUAUUUUUCAUUUUGGUGUAAUAAGGAGCUCAACAAGCAGAAACACUAGCAACGCAAUGAAAUCACAGUUUCUCGGUAGUCCCAGCUACCAAAACUUCCA
Molecule: long non-coding RNA, 10201 nt
Filed under: Nicotiana tabacum (common tobacco)
Lineage: Eukaryota; Viridiplantae; Streptophyta; Magnoliopsida; Solanales; Solanaceae
Description: long non-coding RNA (NTAB_LNC006096)
Source: RNAcentral